AUUGAACGCUGGCGGAAUGCUUUACACAUGCAAGUCGAACGGCAGCACGGACUUCGGUCUGGUGGCGAGUGGCGAACGGGUGAGUAAUGCAUCGGAACGUGCCCAAUCGUGGGGGAUAACGUAGCGAAAGUUACGCUAAUACCGCAUACGAUCUAAGGAUGAAAGCGGGGGAUCGCAAGACCUCGCGCGAAUGGAGCGGCCGAUGUUAGAUUAGGUAGUUGGUGGGGUAAAGGCUCACCAAGCCGACGAUCUAUAGCUGGUCUGAGAGGAUGAUCAGCCACACUGGGCCUGAGACACGGCCCAGACUCCGACGGGAGGCAGCAGUGGGUAAUUUUAGACAAUGUGCGCAAGCCUGAUCCAGCCAUUCCGCGUGCAGGAUGAAGGCCCUCGGGUUGUAAACUGCUUUUGUACAGAACGAAAAGCUCUGGGUUAAUACCCUGGGGUCAUGACGGUACUGUAAGAAUAAGCACCGGCUAACUACGUGCCAGCCGCCGCAGUAA
This 500-nucleotide ribosomal RNA is filed under the name uncultured bacterium. Its description in RNAcentral is "partial 16S ribosomal RNA". It matches the Rfam family "Bacterial small subunit ribosomal RNA", at positions 30 to 523 of the family's 1533-position model. The record is from RNAcentral.